CCCCUCCCACCGUUCGCCUUGACAGCACAGCACGAUGGCGCUCAAAGGAAGUCAAGAGAAUGACCUGUUCCUCCAAGGCCAUCUUCUGACCUCUAGCCCCUCUGCCAAGACAGCACAGGGACAGGGAGCCAGGAAAAGAACGUGCCUCACUCCCAGCUGUCGUCCACCUCCGUUUAGCGGAGCUGCCACCCGGCAAUUACCACGCCUGGGUUCUCCUUUGGAAAAGGAGCACAGGAGAACAAUGCCGCAGCCAGUCCUCCUGGACAAGAAGGCAGGUGAGUCCAGCAUGGAAAAAAAAAUAAGGUAAAUGAUCCCUUUGGCCAUUGUUUCUUUACCGACGGACAAAUCGCUAGCAAGGUGAGCCUGGUUUUAAGUGCUCCUCCCAGACCUUGAACGGGCUGCAAGAAAAAGGGUAAACAACAGCAACAACAAAAUCCAUGCCAG
This 444-nucleotide long non-coding RNA is filed under the name Bos indicus x Bos taurus (hybrid cattle). RNAcentral describes it as "lncRNA (ENSBIXG00005017236.1)". Lineage: Eukaryota; Metazoa; Chordata; Mammalia; Artiodactyla; Bovidae. The record is from RNAcentral.